UACGAAGGGGGCUAGCGUUGCUCGGAAUUACUGGGCGUAAAGGGCGCGUAGGCGGAUGGCACAGUCAGAUGUGAAAUUCCUGGGCUUAACCUGGGGGCUGCAUUUGAUACGUGUGGUCUGGAGUGAGGAAGAGGGUUGUGGAAUUCCCAGUGUAGAGGUGAAAUUCGUAGAUAUUGGGAAGAACACCGGUGGCGAAGGCGGCGACCUGGUCCUUAACUGACGCUGAGGCGCGAAAGCAUGGGGAGCGAACAGG
RNAcentral lists this ribosomal RNA (253 nucleotides) under uncultured bacterium. RNAcentral describes it as "partial 16S ribosomal RNA". It matches the Rfam family "Bacterial small subunit ribosomal RNA", at positions 524 to 776 of the family's 1533-position model. The record is from RNAcentral.